AACGAACGCUGGCGGCAGGCCUAACACAUGCAAGUCGAACGCCCUAGCAAUAGGGAGUGGCAGACGGGUGAGUAACACGUGGGAACCUUCCCUAUAGUAUGGAAUAGCCCAGGGAAACUUGGAGUAAUACCGUAUACGCCCGAGAGGGGAAAGAUUUAUCGCUAUAGGAUGGGCCCGCGUAGGAUUAGCUAGUUGGUGAGGUAAUGGCUCACCAAGGCGACGAUCCUUAGCUGGUCUGAGAGGACGACCAGCCACACUGGGACUGAGACACGGCCCAGACUCCUACGGGAGGCAGCAGUGGGGAAUAUUGGACAAUGGGCGCAAGCCUGAUCCAGCCAUGCCGCGUGAGUGAUGAAGGCCUUAGGGUUGUAAAGCACUUUUGUUUGGGAAGAAAUCCGGUUGGUUAAUACCUGAUCGGGAUGACGGUACCAAAAGAAUAAGCACCGGCUAACUUCGUG
This 458-nucleotide ribosomal RNA is filed under the name uncultured bacterium. Its description in RNAcentral is "bacterial SSU rRNA". It matches the Rfam family "Bacterial small subunit ribosomal RNA", at positions 29 to 507 of the family's 1533-position model. The record is from RNAcentral.